RNAcentral lists this ribosomal RNA (2127 nucleotides) under Cladonia ravenelii. RNAcentral describes it as "large ribosomal RNA subunit". It matches the Rfam family "Bacterial large subunit ribosomal RNA", at positions 410 to 2904 of the family's 2925-position model. Lineage: Eukaryota; Fungi; Ascomycota; Lecanoromycetes; Lecanorales; Cladoniaceae. The record is from RNAcentral.
AAGUAAAAUGGAGUGCAUAUCUGUUUGAAUGAAAGGGGAACCUUCCUCUAAGACUAAAUAUAAUAUAUAAGCGAUAGCGAAUAGUACCGUGAGGGAAAUGAUUGAAAUAGUAAUUUUAUAAGCAGCUCAAAAAUAGUUUAAAUAAACAAUGAGAGCGUACCUUUUGCAUAAUGGGUCAGCAAGUUAAUAUUCGAUGCGAGCAAUAAUGCAAAGAUAAAACAAUUAUGAUAUAAUGAUCUAGUAUCGAAAUUAGACCCGAAGCCUAGUGAUCUUACCAUGAUCAGGAUUAUAAAAGUCCGAACGGGUUAUCGUUGUAAAGAUAUCCGAAGAAUUGUGGUAAGUUAGUGAAAGACAACUCUGACUAGGAUAGCUGGUUUUCUGCGAAACCUAUAUAAGUAGGUAAUUUAAAUAGAAUAUCAGAAGGUACAGAAUUGUGAUCUCAUGCAACCAGUAUUUAUUUUUUGAUUAAUCUAAAAAUAACAGCUUGCUUGUGUGCUUAUAUUAGCUUACGCUACGUAAGUAUGCAUGUAUGCCUUUUUUAGGGUAAUCUAAAUAAAAAUAUACUUUUUGUGGACAUUGGGGGGUCGUGAAGACUCUAUCAGUGAGUAUUUGUUCUCGGAAGGUCUAGAUAUGUAUAUUGAAUAAUCGGACAUAGUACGAUAAGGUUGUAUGUCUAAAGGGAAAUAGCCCAGAACAAGAGUUAAUAAGGUUCCAAAAUUUUUGUUAAGUGAAAUUAAGGCAGUAUUUAUCCCAAUCGGCCAGGAAAUAGGCUUAGAAGCGGCCAUUUUUUGAAGACCUCGUAACAGAGCACUGGUUUUCUAUUUUAUGGAUAAAAGCACCGAAAAUUUAACGGAUCUAAACAAAAUACCGAUACCUUGUCCAUAUAUAUUAAUGUGUAUAUUAUAUAUUGUAUAUAUGGGGUAGCGGAACAUUGGGUAGCCAUUUUUAAUCCUUUAUAAGGAUUAAAUUGCCUAGAGUUUAAUUUAUUAUUGCCUAUAGUUUAAUUUAUUAUUCUCUGGACUAAAUAAGCCCAAGUGAUAAUGCUGACAUGAGUAACGAUAAAGGACCGUACCUAAAUACUAACACAAGUGAGCAAGUAGAGAAUACGAAGGCGUUCGAGCUAACAAUCAUUAAGGAACUCGGCAAAUUGACUCUCGUAACUUCGGGAUAAGGUGGACCAUUUCUUCUGAUUAAUAUCAGGCAAGAAAGAGGAGGCAUAGAAUGGUGUUGUACGACUGUUUAAUUAAAACAAAGCACGCUGCGAAGAAAUAAAUUCGAUGUAUUGAGUGUGAUCUCUGCCCGAUGGCGGCUGGUUAACUAAUUUGCUUAGUUAAAUAAAAUAAGCUAGGCUUUGAUGGAAACCCCGUUCAAUGGCGGCCUUACCUAUAAGGGUCCUAAGGUAGCGUAAUACCUUGGCCGUUAAAUGCGGUCUUGCAUGAAUGAUGUAACGAUACAACAGCUGUCUCUAUGAUUGGCUCGGUGAAAUUGGAAUAACUGUGCAGAUACAGUUUACCUUUAGUUGGACGAGAAAACAGGCUAAUCCCGCCAGAGAGUUCAAAUUGAGUGCGGGGUUUGGCACCUCGAUGUCGGCUUAGCUCAUCCACAUGAAUGUAGGAGUCAUGAAGGGUCCGACUGUUCGUCGAUUAAAGAGCUACAUGAGCUGGGUUAAAUACGUUGUAAGACAGUAUGGUUUCUAUCCUCUAGAGGAAGUUGGAAUAAAUUAAGGAUAGCCCCUUGUACGAGAGGAAUUGGGUAUAUUAACCUAUGGUUUACCUGUUGUUUGUAUUGCCAUAUUAUUGUAACUGAUAGAGAUAUUGUCUUUAUUUUGUUAUAGCCUCUGAGUUUAUAACCAAGAACGCAAUAUUCUGGGUGUCAUGGCUUAUGCUGGCAGUUACUUUUCACUAAAGUAAUAUUUAUUUAGACAGUAAUAAACUGAAAUAGUUGAUAUGUCUAGUAAAAAGGCACGGCAGGAAAGCUACGUUAGUUAAUGAUAAGUGCUGAAUGCAUAUAGGCACGAAACAUACCUUAGGAUAUUCUCAUAUAUACGUAGUUUAAUACUACAAUUUUAGUUUUUAUUAAUAGGCUUUAGCUUAAAGAAUUGUGAUGUUUUUAGGCAUUAAGUACUAA